Molecule: long non-coding RNA, 3007 nt
Organism: Mauremys reevesii (Reeves's turtle)
Lineage: Eukaryota; Metazoa; Chordata; Testudines; Geoemydidae
Exons: 3
Source: RefSeq, a predicted model, not a curated record
CAGGGCAGGAGGAACCUUGGAGACCCCUGUAGCCUUGCUGCAACAAGCCUCCUUUUUGUGGUCUCUCCUGGAGGACUAAGAGAGGAUUUGUGUGCACGCACCUGGGUGCUAAGGAGGAGCUUCUUUGGGAGUUUUCGCCUUUCCAUCUUGAUUUUGUAGAAAGCAGACAUCCCCUGUGUAGAAGCAGGAGGAUGUUACUGACAAAGUGAUGGCUCAGCUGUUUUACAUCCGGUGCUUGCGCCAGAUACCCAAGGCACUGCAGGGACUGUGCCCCUUGGGACAUCUUACAGCUACCCCCCCCGCCCAGCACUUGCCUGUCCAGCAGCUCAGACUCCCUGCUGCAGGAAGAGAGUCCCCAGGUUAGGAUUCACGAUCCCAGAUCUGCAAGGCUCCAGGUGGAGAGUGCCUGGGAGUACCAGGAAAUCAUCUAGGGAACAAAGAAGAUCCAUGCCCUUCUGCUGAGACAGUCCCCACCUUGAUCCUGGUUCAUGCCUCCGUGUACCGUUCUGCCCUCCAGUUCCUGGCUAUUGACUCUGGCUUGAUCCUCAGCUCUGGUCUCUGGCUACUGACCUUGGCAUGACCCUAAGCUCUAGAUGUUGGCUACAAACUCUUGCUCAGUAUUAUCCUUGCCCUCCUCUAGCCUCUCUCCAGCCCCACCAACAACCCACUCCAGCCUUGCCUCCUCCUCCUGAUCCUCCCCCAAACCCUUGGACUCUGAUUACCUGGCUUCAACCUUCUGCCUGUAUCUGGAAUGUGGCUUAAUAUCGACUUGGCUUUCCUUUGGACUCUGACCACCUGGCUUCGAUCUCUGGCUGCACCUGGACUCUGGCUACGGUUCUGAUUCUGGUUUGUCUAUGGACUGUGAUCUUGGUUUUGACCCCGGAUCUCGAUUCCCUCACCAUCCUUCGCCCAGGCCCAACCCUAUGCCUAACUGUGACCUACGCUUCAACCACUAGGCCUAAUUAUCGGUGGCAGCACCUGACACCAAGUGGUGCAAAUUUUUGCAGAAAAGAAGGCCCUCCACACAUAAAAGUGUCCCAUACGCAAAAGGGGACACAUCACACCAGGUAUGAAUGAUGGCCUUGCUAUCUGAGCCUGGCCCUGCGGUGCCCCUAGUGGAGUGAUUCAGUGGAGAUGACUGAAAAUUCAGGGGUUUCCUUAACCAGCCUCUGCCCCUGGACUCACUCCACCAAUCAGGCCAAGGAGGGAUUGACCAGUGAGGUGCGAGAUUUGGCCUCACCUCUACUUAGGCAGAAUAGCCUGCACUAACAGACGGGAGAACCUUCUUAUGUGAUUGACUAAAGCUUUCCUGCCAAAAUUCUAGCAGGCAUGGAGGCCAGCCGCCUCUUAUACUAUGUACUUCUGAUGGUUUGUGGCCAAUGCUGAAUGGAACCAGUGGCCCAGUUUUAUCAUUUCUGCUGGGCACUCAGUGAAGAGGUCAAGGAGGAGCUAGCCUGGCUAGAGGCCUUCUUGGGCCUGCACAGCUUCAUUGAUCUAGCGGCCAUGCCCAUUGAGAACUGUUAUCACGAGUGGAGGGAGGAAAAGAGAAGAGGGUAUUACACAGACAAUUCGCACAGGCUCUGUGCUAGCACCCUUGAGUUCAUCCCCUGAACCCAUGCAGGUCAACAUGGCCCAGCGAUGCUUGACCACUGAGGAGAGGGAGUGAAGUCAGGCAAUAACCUGUUCUUCUACUGCGGCAAGCCAGAGCAGCACUCACUGAAUACCUGGCAUGGACCCCAGCCAGGAAAGUAUCGGGAAAUGAACAAGCCCAAGUUUUCACGGGGAUCCAGCUGGGUCCACCUGGGCCCUCUCUGUAUCUCCAGGUUUCAGUUCAGUUGUGCAUCCCCAGAGAAACACGACAGGUGCCACUGCAGUGGGCACUUAUUGAUUCUGGGGCUGCAGACAAUAUCAUAAAUUUCAAGACAGCCCAAGGUCUGCAAAUCCUCGUCCAGCAGAAAUCACAUCGGCUGUUGUGGAAACGAUUGACAGGACCCUCUUUUCCUUUGGGCUGGUAACCCAGGAGAUGAUGGCCCUGGAAGUGGUAACCCAGGUACACAAAGAAAUGCUGACAUUCGCUGUGAUAUGUUCCCCACAUUUCUGUGGGCUCACCUGGUUAGCAUGACAGGACCCCCAUGUUCUCUGGCAAACCCAGAAGACCAGCUUUCCCUCCAAGCGCUAUCAACAGGCCUGUCUCCAUAGCAACAGCAUCGAGUUCCUGGGCCCAGAGGCCCAUUCCCAGACAGUGGUGAGUCCAUCCCUGUAUGUACCGGAGCUCACAGCAACUGGCUGCAGUGAACCAUUCUUGGGUCUGAUACCUCGCAUUCCUGAUAAAUACCAGGUUUAUGUGAAUAUGUUUGAAAAAAAUGAGGACACUUUGCCUCUGCACCAAGACUAUGACUGCCCUAUUGACCUACAACCUGGGGCCGAAUUUAUGCAGUGUCCAAAACAGAACUAGUGGCUUUCCCUGCGUAUAGUCAAGAAAACCCAUCCAAAGGGUUUAUUUGUCACUCAGCGUUUCCCACAGAGGCCCCGUCCUCUUUGAAAAGAAGAAAGGUGGGAAUAUGCACCUCUGUGUAGACUACCAUAGAUCAAUUGAGCAAGAUGGUAGGUUUCAUCCGCUGUGACCAUGUACCUUUGGCUAAGAGGACAGAUCAGCUCCUAGAAACAGAUGUCAUCUUCCUAACCGCAUAACCUCAGAUAAAGGGCCCCGUUUCAUUUCUUGUUUCUGGUGAUAAACUGCCUGGCUACUGAACAGUCACACCGAUGCCUCCUGGGCAUACUACCUGCAGACGAAUGGCCAGAUGGCAAGUGUGAACCAAGUACUGACCAAUAUUUAUGUAGUUUUUCUUAACUAUAACCAAGAGAAUUGGUCCACCCUCCUACGCUCAGGGCUGGCCUUACCAUGAGGCGAACUGAAGCGGCCGCCUCAGGUGCCAGACUGUGGGGGGGCCGCCACUAGGACCCAGAUUGUAGAAAAUUGUGUCUGCUGCUGGUGCAUAUGUAUUCU